Molecule: long non-coding RNA, 1948 nt
Organism: Chenopodium quinoa (quinoa)
Lineage: Eukaryota; Viridiplantae; Streptophyta; Magnoliopsida; Caryophyllales; Amaranthaceae
Exons: 2
Source: RefSeq, a predicted model, not a curated record
UUUGGAUUUUACUUGGAUAUGUUUUUACAUACCAAAUACAAUGUUGGUUGUGGAAUCACUUAGAAGACAAGUAUUUUUGACAAUUAUUUUUUUUUUUUUUUUGAAGAAAAGAUAGAGCAUACUCUUUACUAAUUUUUGACAAUUAUAAUAAUGUAAUCUAGUUUUUAUUUAUUUAUUUAUAGCUAGGUCUGUAUUACUCUUUAGUUUAUAGUAAAAAAACAAAAAUCAUUCACUGAUUAUUUCAUCCAAAUGGCUGAUUAUAUAUAAUGGAAUGACUUUUCUUUAAAAACAAAAAAUAAUGGAAUAACUAAUUAAUUAAUUAAUUUAAUUUUAAGUUUUUACUUCAAAAAAAAAAAAAACCAAUAGUAUCAACAUUACAAUUUACAAGGUUUGUUUUCAUUUGUUAUAACACUAUUAUUUCUCAAACAAAAUAAAAUUCAAACAAUACACAUAUUUUUCUAAAGUGGUGGAAAAAAAAAAUCCUAGACUUUUAUAGAAAAAUUGACCUUAUAUAUACUUAAAAGCAAAGAAAUAUAUAUUAUAAUUUCCACCAUAUACAUUUCAUAAAAAUAGUAAUAAAAUCUUUUGAAAUGUCUAGAUAAAUUUGUGUCAAAAAAAAAAAAAAAAAAAAAAGAAAUGUCUAGAUAAAGUCCAUAAAGAAGAAAAACUCGAAUUAAACUUUGUUCGCAUUUUUCAUUUUUCAUACACUAAAACCCACAAAUUCUAAAAUAGACCUGGUCUACAUUAAGUUUAUUGUAGACCAACUACUGUCACGUGAGCUUUCUACGGGCAAUUAAUUUUCGUUGUUUCCCUCGCUUCAUUACUCUCAUCUUAGCUCUACCAAUUUUACUCUGCCCCAUUUUCUCUCUCUACCAUCUGCAUUUUUUUUUUUAUUUUUCACUUCAAAGAUCGAAUUACUCUCUAUAUGCACACUUUCAAGCUCUGUGAUCUUCUUCUUCAAUGGUGAAACGCAAGGUGGUGGAACGCCUCUUAGAGCGCGAGGAGGUGGAACACAAAACCGUGGUAAUUAGGGUUUUGAUUAAAUUUAUCAGAAGGUGUUUGUGGUGGCUGAGUUGGGCGAGUGAGGCGAGGGUGUGGUUGGCGCGAGUUAAAAGUCUAGGUUUAAGUGAAGUUUGUUAGGGAGUAUAAGAUGUAUAAUGUUGUUGUUGGUGCGACUUCGAUUUUUGAAGGAAUGUAUUAUCGUAGUAGUUGUCUGCUUCCUGCUUCUGGCAAUGUCAAGAUUAAUUCUAAUAAAGCUUUAAUGGAAGGUGUGGGUGUGGGGCUUGAGGCUGUUGGUAGGAACAGCGAAGGGGAGUUGUUGGCUGUUAAACUUGAUGGAGAAUGAUUAAAAACCUUACAAAAUUAUCUAAUUUCCACAACCUCUCCUCCUACUAAUACCAAAUUCCUCCAGUGUACCAAAUUAUAUAAGAGUUUUAUGUUGCUGAAAUGCACAACUCGGGUAGCAUUGACGCUAAAAUAUUAUACAGCUCAUUUCACAUAUCAGAGUAAAAUCUUACUUUUACACCCUGUUCCACAUAUGUGAUGGUUGCGAGAAUGCGAGGUUCGAAAUGCUAGCUUGAAAUCUGAGUUAUGUGAAAAUCAAGCUCAUAUGUGAUGCUUGAAUGUUUGUAAUGCUAUCAAGGAGACGAAAUGGCCGUUGAUGAUAUUAUACUUGCAGGAGAGCAAUGUGAGUGUUUUUCUUUUAAUCAUGUUAGACAAAAUGGCAAUGUGAAUGCGAGUUUCCUGCUAAUGAUGUAGAACAAUCCUUUGCAAACUCUUUCCCCAAGGCUUUUUAGCUUUUGUGGAUUUAGACUCUGGUUGAUUUAAUAAUAUUGCUUCCAUGUUUUCCCCUAAAAAAAAGCUUUAUGGGCAUGAUAUAUAAGUGACAAAAGUGUAAGUUGGGUUAGUUUAAUCCAUUAAUUUUACUUAAUUAGUUUGAUUAGUUGUA